RNAcentral lists this ribosomal RNA (301 nucleotides) under uncultured bacterium. RNAcentral's name for it is "partial 16S ribosomal RNA". It matches the Rfam family "Bacterial small subunit ribosomal RNA", at positions 509 to 807 of the family's 1533-position model. The record is from RNAcentral.
CAGUAGCCACGGUAAUACAGAGGGUGCGAGCGUUAAUCGGAUUUACUGGGCGUAAAGCGUGCGUAGGCGGCUAAUUGAGUCGGAUGUGAAAUCCCCGAGCUUAACUUGGGAAUUGCAUUCGAUACUGGUUAGCUAGAGUGUGGGAGAGGAUGGUAGAAUUCCAGGUGUAGCGGUGAAAUGCGUAGAGAUCUGGAGGAAUACCGAUGGCGAAGGCAGCCAUCUGGCCUAACACUGACGCUGAGGUACGAAAGCAUGGGGAGCAAACAGGAUUAGAGAACCCUGUAGUCCCUGUCUCUUAUAC